Molecule: ribosomal RNA, 253 nt
Filed under: uncultured bacterium
Lineage: Bacteria
Description: partial 16S ribosomal RNA
Rfam family: Bacterial small subunit ribosomal RNA
Source: RNAcentral
UACGUAGGGGGCAAGCGUUGUUCGGAAUUACUGGGCGUAAAGGGCGCGUAGGCGGCCCGGCAAGUCGGGAGUGAAAGCCCGGGGCUCAACCCCGGAGGGUCUUCCGAAACUGCCGAGCUAGAGUGCGGAAGAGGCAACCGGAAUUCCCAGUGUAGCGGUGAAAUGCGUAGAUAUUGGGAAGAACACCAGAGGCGAAGGCGGGUUGCUGGGCCGACACUGACGCUGAGGCGCGAAAGCCAGGGGAGCAAACGGG